RNAcentral lists this ribosomal RNA (253 nucleotides) under uncultured bacterium. Its description in RNAcentral is "partial 16S ribosomal RNA". It matches the Rfam family "Bacterial small subunit ribosomal RNA", at positions 524 to 776 of the family's 1533-position model. The record is from RNAcentral.
UACGUAGGGGGCAAGCGUUGUCCGGAAUCAUUGGGCGUAAAGCGCGUGUAGGCGGCCCGAUAAGUCCGCUGUGAAAGUCCAGGGCUCAACCCUGGAAUGCCGGUGGAAACUGUCGGGCUGGAGUCCGGAAGAGGCGAGUGGAAUUCCUGGUGUAGCGGUGAAAUGCGCAGAUAUCAGGAGGAACACCAAUGGCGAAGGCAGCUCGCUGGGACGGUACUGACGCUGAGACGCGAAAGCGUGGGGAGCAAACAGG